Molecule: ribosomal RNA, 657 nt
Filed under: Microbacterium sp. DJM1G12
Lineage: Bacteria; Bacillati; Actinomycetota; Actinomycetes; Micrococcales; Microbacteriaceae
Description: bacterial SSU rRNA
Rfam family: Bacterial small subunit ribosomal RNA
Source: RNAcentral
CCACGGUUUCCGUGACGCAGCUAACGCAUUAAGUUCCCCGCCUGGGGAGUACGGCCGCAAGGCUAAAACUCAAAGGAAUUGACGGGGACCCGCACAAGCGGCGGAGCAUGCGGAUUAAUUCGAUGCAACGCGAAGAACCUUACCAAGGCUUGACAUAUACGAGAACGCUGCAGAAAUGUAGAACUCUUUGGACACUCGUAUACAGGUGGUGCAUGGUUGUCGUCAGCUCGUGUCGUGAGAUGUUGGGUUAAGUCCCGCAACGAGCGCAACCCUCGUUCUAUGUUGCCAGCACGUAAUGGUGGGAACUCAUGGGAUACUGCCGGGGUCAACUCGGAGGAAGGUGGGGAUGACGUCAAAUCAUCAUGCCCCUUAUGUCUUGGGCUUCACGCAUGCUACAAUGGCCGGUACAAAGGGCUGCAAUACCGUGAGGUGGAGCGAAUCCCAAAAAGCCGGUCCCAGUUCGGAUUGAGGUCUGCAACUCGACCUCAUGAAGUCGGAGUCGCUAGUAAUCGCAGAUCAGCAACGCUGCGGUGAAUACGUUCCCGGGUCUUGUACACACCGCCCGUCAAGUCAUGAAAGUCGGUAACACCUGAAGCCGGUGGCCUAACCCUUGUGGAGGGAGCCGUCGAAGGUGGGAUCGGUAAUUAGGACUAAGUC